Molecule: non-coding RNA, 975 nt
Filed under: Trichomonas vaginalis G3
Lineage: Eukaryota; Parabasalia; Trichomonadida; Trichomonadidae
Description: Eukaryotic large subunit ribosomal RNA
Rfam family: Eukaryotic large subunit ribosomal RNA
Source: Rfam by way of RNAcentral
UUUCUGAUGUAGGUAAAGGUGCGAAAGACUCAUCGAACCCCCUAAUAGCUGGUUUCCUCCGAAGUUUCCCUCAGGAUAGCUGUAAUGCAUUUAGUUAAGGGGAGUAGAGAUAUGGGUAGAGGUGCAGGGAGCCUUCGGGUUCUCAACUUAUUUCCAAACUUCGAACCUCCUUGUUAGGCAUUUACCUAACUGGAAAUGCUUAAAUGAAUUAGCGUUACAAGUGGGCUCUGACCGGUAAGCGGUCAUGGCGAAAUGGGAUGAACCAUACGUCUGAAUAAGGUGCCGAAAUGUACUAUCACUGAUACCAUAAAGGGAGUCCAUGUAUUUAGACAGCAGGUCGGUGCCCCUAAAAGCAGGUAUCCGCUAAAGAGUGUGUUAAAACUCACCUGCCGAAUACUAGGGCCCCGAAAAUGAAUGGCGCAUAUAGUACUACCGAUCUCAGACAUCAGUUCUAUUGAACUGAGAGUAGGGGGAUGUGGACAUUUUUGUGAAGGUGCAAUGUGAGUUGGACUGGAAGAAUGUCUAUUACAGAUCCUAAUUGAAGUAGCGAUUAUCCAGGCUUGUAUCCUGGGGGCUGAUGAGGAGUAGGGUUUCUGGACAACUUAAACAGAUCCAGAGUUAGUCGAUCCUAAUCUCAAUAAUGGGAGAAAGGGAGUACAGUUGAUAUUCUGUAACUGACAACAGUUCGCGGCAACGCAUACUAUUUUUCUCCGCCAAUCUUAUACCGUUGGUAGGGAUCUCUUUCCUACAUGACAGUACUAAUACCCAGGGAAACUGGUCAUCAGGCGAACUGCGGCGUUCUGCUGGCAAAACAUAGCUUCGGUUAUGUCAAUGGCUAUUGGAUUGGUCCAUGAAGCGAAAAAUAGUUUACUGUGUCACUCGUACCGAUAACCGCAUCAGGUCUUCUAGGUAAGUAGCCUAUGGCCAUUGAGGCAUGAUAGUUCAGGGAAUUCGGCCAAUUAGAGCUGUAACUUC